GAGGUGGAGCUAAUCCCACAAAGCUGGUCGUAGUCCGGAUCGGAGUCUGCAACUCGACUCCGUGAAGUCGGAAUCGCUAGUAAUCGUGAAUCAGAAUGUCACGGUGAAUACGUUCCCGGGCCUUGUACACACCGCCCGUCACACCAUGGGAGUGGGUUGCUCCAGAAGUAGAUAGUCUAACCCUCGGGAGGACGUUUACCACGGAGUGAUUCAUGACUGGGGUGAAGUCGUAACAAGGUAGCCCUAGGGGAACCUGGGGCUGGAUCACCUCCUUA
This 275-nucleotide ribosomal RNA is filed under the name Oceanobacter sp. 5_MG-2023. RNAcentral describes it as "partial 16S ribosomal RNA". It matches the Rfam family "Bacterial small subunit ribosomal RNA", at positions 1259 to 1533 of the family's 1533-position model. Lineage: Bacteria; Pseudomonadati; Pseudomonadota; Gammaproteobacteria; Oceanospirillales; Oceanospirillaceae. The record is from RNAcentral.